GCAGUCGAGCGAACAGAUAAGGAGCUUGCUCCUUUGACGUUAGCGGCGGACGGGUGAGUAACACGUGGGUAACCUACCUAUAAGACUGGGAUAACUUCGGGAAACCGGAGCUAAUACCGGAUAACAUUUGGAACCGCAUGGUUCUAAAGUGAAAGAUGGUUUUGCUAUCACUUAUAGAUGGACCCGCGCCGUAUUAGCUAGUUGGUAAGGUAACGGCUUACCAAGGCGACGAUACGUAGCCGACCUGAGAGGGUGAUCGGCCACACUGGAACUGAGACACGGUCCAGACUCCUACGGGAGGCAGCAGUAGGGAAUCUUCCGCAAUGGGCGAAAGCCUGACGGAGCAACGCCGCGUGAGUGAUGAAGGGUUUCGGCUCGUAAAACUCUGUUAUUAGGGAAGAACAAACGUGUAAGUAACUGUGCACGUCUUGACGGUACCUAAUCAGAAAGCCACGGCUAACUACGUGCCAGCAGCCGCGGUAAUACGUAGGUGGCAAGCGUUAUCCGGAAUUAUUGGGCGUAAAGCGCGCGUAGGCGGUUUCUUAAGUCUGAUGUGAAAGCCCACGGCUCAACCGUGGAGGGUCAUUGGAAACUGGGAAACUUGAGUGCAGAAGAGGAAAGUGGAAUUCCAUGUGUAGCGGUGAAAUGCGCAGAGAUAUGGAGGAACACCAGUGGCGAAGGCGACUUUCUGGUCUGUAACUGACGCUGAUGUGCGAAAGCGUGGGGAUCAAACAGGAUUAGAUACCCUGGUAGUCCACGCCGUAAACGAUGAGUGCUAAGUGUUAGGGGGUUUCCGCCCCUUAGUGCUGCAGCUAACGCAUUAAGCACUCCGCCUGGGGAGUACGACCGCAAGGUUGAAACUCAAAGGAAUUGACGGGGACCCGCACAAGCGGUGGAGCAUGUGGUUUAAUUCGAAGCAACGCGAAGAACCUUACCAAAUCUUGACAUCCUUUGAAAACUCUAGAGAUAGAGCCUUCCCCUUCGGGGGACAAAGUGACAGGUGGUGCAUGGUUGUCGUCAGCUCGUGUCGUGAGAUGUUGGGUUAAGUCCCGCAACGAGCGCAACCCUUAAGCUUAGUUGCCAUCAUUAAGUUGGGCACUCUAGGUUGACUGCCGGUGACAAACCGGAGGAAGGUGGGGAUGACGUCAAAUCAUCAUGCCCCUUAUGAUUUGGGCUACACACGUGCUACAAUGGACAAUACAAAGGGCAGCUAAACCGCGAGGUCAUGCAAAUCCCAUAAAGUUGUUCUCAGUUCGGAUUGUAGUCUGCAACUCGACUACAUGAAGCUGGAAUCGCUAGUAAUCGUAGAUCAGCAUGCUACGGUGAAUACGUUCCCGGGUCUUGUACACACCGCCCGUCACACCACGAGAGUUUGUAACACCCGAAGCCGGUGGAGUAACCAUUU
RNAcentral lists this ribosomal RNA (1405 nucleotides) under Staphylococcus sp. CBU005A. Its description in RNAcentral is "bacterial SSU rRNA". It matches the Rfam family "Bacterial small subunit ribosomal RNA". Lineage: Bacteria; Bacillati; Bacillota; Bacilli; Caryophanales; Staphylococcaceae. The record is from RNAcentral.